RNAcentral lists this ribosomal RNA (497 nucleotides) under uncultured bacterium. Its description in RNAcentral is "partial 16S ribosomal RNA". It matches the Rfam family "Bacterial small subunit ribosomal RNA", at positions 28 to 507 of the family's 1533-position model. The record is from RNAcentral.
GACGAACGCUGGCGGCGUGCCUAAUACAUGCAAGUUGAGCGAUGAAGAUUGGUGCUUGCACCAAUUUGAAGAGCAGCGAACGGGUGAGUAACGCGUGGGGAAUCUGCCUUUGAGCGGGGGACAACAUUUGGAAACGAAUGCUAGUACCGCAUAACAACUUUAAACAUAAGUUUUAAGUUUGAAAGAUGCAAUUGCAUCACUCAAAGAUGAUCCCGCGUUGUAUUAGCUAGUUGGUGAGGUAAAGGCUCACCAAGGCGAUGAUACAUAGCCGACCUGAGAGGGUGAUCGGCCACAUUGGGACUGAGACACGGCCCAAACUCCUACGGGAGGCAGCAGUAGGGAAUCUUCGGCCAUGGACGAAAGUCUGACCGAGCAACGCCGCGUGAGUGAAGAAGGUUUUCGGAUCGUAAAACUCUGUUGGUAGAGAAGAACGUUGGUGAGAGUGGAAAGCUCAUCAAGUGACGGUAACUACCCAGAAAGGGACGGCUAACUACGUG